This 733-nucleotide long non-coding RNA is filed under the name Gallus gallus (chicken). Its description in RNAcentral is "lncRNA (ENSGALG00010011336.1)". Lineage: Eukaryota; Metazoa; Chordata; Aves; Galliformes; Phasianidae. The record is from RNAcentral.
AAUAGACUAAAUAAUCCUGCCUGCUGCCAGAAUUCAACAAGACACAGAUGGAAGUUGCAGUUAUCAGAUGUUUGAGCAGCAGAAUACGCUGCUUCUAGUCAUUGGUACUGAAGUGUUUCACUGGGAGGAUAAGUUUGUUCACUUGAUCUCUUCAGUUUGGGCUUGAAAUGGAACCCCUGGUGGUGACUUACUGUAAUUAAUGGACCAUCAUAUAUCAUUAGGACUUCCCUUAACUUAGAGUCACAGGGGGGAAAAAAUGGUGUAUUAAGAUCAAAAUAUGAUAUAUAUUUUUUUUUUUUAACAAAAAGCCACAUCUGAUAAAGAACUCGAAAGUUCUCCUCAAUGUCACUUAGUGAGCCAACACUGAUGGGAUAUUUCAUGAGGAUGAACAUCCAUAAAGAAACUGCUGAGAGUCCGUGACCUUUGGAAAUCAAUUACCUUUAGAAGGGAAUGACCAGAAUGACCUGAGGCAGAUGAAGAGGCAGUCAGUCCAGCUCACUUUUUCCUUCUGUGCAGUGUCAUCACAAAACUCUCCACUGAUUUUCAUCUGUUGUGACCACGCUGUUAAGAAAGUCUCUGGGAUUCCACCUGCCCAGCAGCCUCCUGGAACGUUUACUGCACAGGUAAUGGAAAAAGAAUUGUAAGCUGAUUUAAAAAGUUAUUUUGCUUCAAAUCUUCUGCAAAUAUCAGUUCGUGCAAUGGCUGUGCUAUCAUCUAAUACAUUAAUAUUCAU